GAUGAAGAACGUAGUGAACUGCGAUAAGUAAUGUGAAUUGCAGAAUUCAGUGAAUCAUCGAGUCUUUGAACGCACAUUGCGCCCCCUGGCAUUCCGGGGGGCAUGCCUGUCCGAGCGUCAUUGCUGCCCAUCAAGCCCGGCUUGUGUGUUGGGUCGUCGUCCCCCCCGGGGGACGGGCCCGAAAGGCAGCGGCGGCACCGUGUCCGGUCCUCGAGCGUAUGGGGCUUUGUCACCCGCUCGACUAGGGCCGGCCGGGCGCCAGCCGACGUCUCCAACCAUUUUUCUUCAGGUUGACCUCGGAUCAGGUAGGGAUACCCGCUGAACUUAAGCAUAUCAAUAAGCGGAGGA
Molecule: unclassified non-coding RNA, 348 nt
Filed under: soil metagenome
Description: partial contains 5.8S ribosomal RNA, internal transcribed spacer 2, and large subunit ribosomal RNA
Rfam family: 5.8S ribosomal RNA (bases 1-120)
Source: RNAcentral